GCGAACGCUGGCGGCAGGCCUAACACAUGCAAGUCGAACGAACCUUUCGGGGUUAGUGGCGGACGGGUGAGUAACACGUGGGAACGUGCCUUUAGGUUCGGAAUAACUCAGGGAAACUUGUGCUAAUACCGAAUGUGCCCUUCGGGGGAAAGAUUUAUCGCCUUUAGAGCGGCCCGCGUCUGAUUAGCUAGUUGGUUAAGGUAAUGGCUCACCAAGGCGACGAUCAGUAGCUGGUCUGAGAGGAUGAUCAGCCACAUUGGGACUGAGACACGGCCCAAACUCCUACGGGAGGCAGCAGUGGGGAAUCUUGCGCAAUGGGCGAAAGCCUGACGCAGCCAUGCCGCGUGAAUGAUGAAGGUCUUAGGAUUGUAAAAUUCUUUCACCGGGGACGAUAAUGACGGUACCCGGAGAAGAAGCCCCGGCUAACUUCGUG
Molecule: ribosomal RNA, 433 nt
Filed under: uncultured bacterium
Lineage: Bacteria
Description: partial 16S ribosomal RNA
Rfam family: Bacterial small subunit ribosomal RNA
Source: RNAcentral